UACGAGUGCCCCGAGCGUUAUCCGGAAUCAUUGGGCGUAAAGGGUGUGUAGGUGGUAGUGUUAGUCAUUUGCUAAAGCCUGGGGCUCAACCCCAGAUCGGCGGGUGAAACGGCACAACUAGAGGAUGGCAGGGAUGUAUGGAACUCAUGGAGUAGGGGUAAAAUCCGUUGAUAUCAUGGGGAACACCAAAAGCGAAGGCAGUACAUUGGGCCACUCCUGACACUGAAACACGAAAGCGUGGGUAGCGAAUGGG
Molecule: ribosomal RNA, 253 nt
Filed under: uncultured bacterium
Lineage: Bacteria
Description: partial 16S ribosomal RNA
Rfam family: Bacterial small subunit ribosomal RNA
Source: RNAcentral